Molecule: long non-coding RNA, 1707 nt
Organism: Anolis carolinensis (green anole)
Lineage: Eukaryota; Metazoa; Chordata; Lepidosauria; Squamata; Anolidae
Exons: 2
Source: RefSeq, a predicted model, not a curated record
CCUCCUCCUUUGACUGGAUGGGAGGAGGAGAAGGAAUCGCAGAAGGAGCCCAGGCCCAAUCAAAGCACUCCCGGCAGAGGGCCAUGCAACUCAAGACUCGUGGGAGGGCCUUGCAGUCCUGCUCUCUCCCUUGGCCCCUCGCCGCCCUCCGCGCGCCCCCGCGGUUGCCACGGCGACGGAGGGCUUGAAAAGAAUAAAUCUUUCACAGAAAGGAAACAUAUCACCAAUAGAAGUUAUCAUCACUUAAUUCAAUGGAAGUGGCCCCAAGGUAAGUGCAAGCAAUACCACAGAUUAUAUUAUGGAAUAAAUAAAUGUUCUGCUAAUAAAAGCAAGCUCCUUUAAAGACAUAUAAUGCACUGAAAUCAUCUGUCCAUGCAUCUUGGAAAAAGAAUUUGAAGUGUGGGACAAGGGGCUAUUUGAUCUUGUUAGCUGUGUUUAAUCAUUAAACACCGGUUCUAGAUACUUAGUGUUAUACUGCAGUCUAAGUGGGGAACAAGGAAGAAAUACUGUAGUUGAAUGUAGCAUAGGUUUAACUUCUUAAGAAACGAUUACUUGUCAUUGCUUUAUUUAAUAUUUGCUUUUUGCUUUUUCUUAUUUUAUCAUAAAUAACACAUUGAGUAGCUGCUCUUCAAGCUGUAGCUGUUAAGAUCAGCUUAAAAUUUAAAAAACUCAGGAAAUAUAAAAAUUGACAAACAUAAAUGCAGCAGCCAUUUUUUUUAAAUUAUGGCACAUCCCAUAAUUCUGUCUUGUUUAAAACAUUAAUAAAACAUUUGGUCUUAAUUUCUCUAAACCUGCCUAGUCACUUACUCUAGCAAUAGUACUUUUAUCCCUACAUUAUUUAGCAACAUUAUUUAGUGCUUUGUUAUUUAAUAUAGCCUGCCUUUUCUUCAAGAUAAGAUAAAUGGCAUCUGCACAUGUGAUUGGGGGGGGGGGGGGGAUGACCAUUCCCAUUGUCCCAAUACUUAUGUUGACUGGAGGUGAGGAGAUAUAAUUCCACACUUCCAAAGAACAUCAACUUGGAAAGGCUGAUCUAAAUGUACAUUUACUUGACCUAUCCCCACCUUCCAUAAUAACUACAUGGUCAGUAACUGAAUGUCCCUUUACAUGUCAUUAAACAGAAUAAGAAAAAAGAUGACAAAUGCCAAUCUAUAGUUUAUUGUAGCACAUACAAUACUACACAUUGGUAAAGAUGACAGGUUGUGAGGUUUGCUUCACAUGAAAUUUAAGAAACUGAGGUAAUAACAAAAGCUAGGUACAGAAACUGACUUUCAGACGGUUGAAACUUACUUGAAUACUGACAAUGGAAUCUUGUCCUCCAAAGCAACUGAAACAGAAGACAUGCUUAGGAUGCCAUAAGAUGGUUGUAUGAUAUCCAGACAGGGUAUUUGUCCUCCAAAAGAGAGUAAUAGUUGGACAGUUCAAGAGAAACAAGUAAGAAGCUACCACUAUUCCAUCUGCUGCUUGAGGUGGUUGCCUCAUUCCACCAUUUAGGGCUGACUCUACCGCUAGUUAGAACAGGCCUGCAGAACCUGUGACCCUUCAGGUUUUGGCACUCCAACUCCCAGAAAUCCUAACCAGCUUGUCCAAUGGUCAGGAAUUCUGGGAGCUGAAGUACAAAACACCUGUAGGAUCAUAAGUUGUGCAGGCCUGAGCUAGAGUGAGGGCAAAAGUAUCACAGUAUCAAUGAGUAGGAAAAGGGGGGGGGGG